Molecule: long non-coding RNA, 1680 nt
Organism: Hemicordylus capensis (graceful crag lizard)
Lineage: Eukaryota; Metazoa; Chordata; Lepidosauria; Squamata; Cordylidae
Exons: 3
Source: RefSeq, a predicted model, not a curated record
CGGCAGUCUCUGCAGCUCCGCGACCUGAACAGGUCCCCUCCCCUUCUCUCCAACUCAAGGCUCCUGUUUCCCUACCCUCCGGGGCACCCCGAUGGAGAAGGUGCCGCGGGUUGACUCCUCAAGUGCAUUGUAUGGGUGGGUGUCAGUUGACGAAGGCAUUUUUGCACACAGUAUUGCUGCCUGAGAGCUCAGAGACGCAGUCAGCAGCCUCCCAUGAUAUAUCCAUUGCUGGACACUCUACCUCAUCAGACCAUACAGGGGAACCUGAAUGUCUGAAUGCUCCUGAACAUUAAAAAAAGAACACAGCCCACCUCCCUCCAUAUUCAGAUUAAUCAUGUCAAGGAGAGGUGCUAAUGUUAUAUGUGGAGGUGGUAGUUGUUUCUUUCUUGAUUCUCCAUCUGUAGCUUGAAGUGGUACAGUCCAGCAACAGACACAUGUAUUCUGGUCACAUAGCUUGGUUCUUAAUAAUUGACUGUUCCCUUUGUUGCCUUAUGUCCUGGUUAUUUUCUGUGUUUUUCUGCUUCCAUCUAUUCGCAAUCGUCCCUCCCUCACCCAUAACUUAAAUUUUUGUGUGUGAUGUAAACGCAUGCAUGCACGCACAGACACACACUCCAUGCGCACACAAUUAAGAAUACUGUAUCCAGAGGACUACAUGGGCUAUUACUACCACCAAUCAGACUAGCAUGGAGGCAUAUUUGCACGUAAUAUGGAACUGUGGAUCUAGGGCUGUAGCUAUAAUUGAGCAGGUGGGUUCAAAGAACCCAGGGUCCCCAAUUCCUGAGGGCCUCCCCCAGCUCCACCCCUCCCUAUUUUCUUCAUUAUCUUCCUCACUCCAAGUUGUCACUGAGGAGAGGGGUGAACACAGUCCCCCUCUCCCCUAGCUACUCCACUGCGUGGGUCCAAUGGACACACAGUUCUGCACCCCACCCCCACCACCCACUCUCCUGUCUGAAAUUGGAUGUAAUGGAGGGCACUCUCUCUGCAGUCAGGAAGUGGGAACUGGCUGGGCUUCCAGCUUGCAUGAAGGACAACCUGCACAGCCAAUCAUGGCCAGAGAGAGGGAGGAGCUUCCUCCUUCAACUCUGGUUACAGAGAAUGCGACCUCCAGUUCUGCAUUCGCUUGUAACGCUCCCCAACUGAAACCUUGGGUUGGAGUGGCCAAACUCAGUACAAGAUGAGGGUUCAAAAUGGAGUGUGCAUAGCAGGUUGAUUUCCAAAUGGGACUGGAGUUGCACACAUUCGGAUAUACAGGUUUGGCAACCUCUGCCCACUUUAUCUCUGGUUUCCCGUUAUGCGUGAAUGCGGCUGAUAGUCUUGAGCUUCCAGUACUGAACUGAAAGCUGCCAUUUGUGUAAUUGUGUGGCAGGAUCAUGGCCAGAUUGAGUACGCUGCUCUGCUUCUGCAUUUCUAUAGUGCAGCCUCUAGUUGUCUGCGGUUGCUGUUGGUUGCUAUGUUCACUUGGGGGGAAAAGCACCACCAAUAAAACUGCAUAGGAUUUAGUUCUGGGACUGCUGGACUACUAUAGUGUGAUUUGGUAUUAUUUGACUGCAGAAAUCUUUAAGUUAGAUGAUAUAAGAUUUGUAUGGUCUUUAAUCACAUAAGACACAAAGAAUCCGACAUGGAAAUAUUAUAUGCAUUGCCACAACCCAGUAAAAGAAUUAAUAGUUGAUUCAUUGUGAA